RNAcentral lists this ribosomal RNA (419 nucleotides) under bacterium. RNAcentral's name for it is "partial 16S ribosomal RNA". It matches the Rfam family "Bacterial small subunit ribosomal RNA", at positions 355 to 776 of the family's 1533-position model. The record is from RNAcentral.
UGGGGGAUAUUGCACAAUGGGCGAAAGCCUGAUGCAGCGACGCCGCGUGGGGGAUGAAGGCCUUCGGGUUGUAAACUUCUUUUGCUCUGAACAAGGCGCACCAUGAGGUGUGUUGAGUGUAGGGGUUGAUUAGCGCCGGCUAACUACGUGCCAGCAGCCGCGGUAAUACGUAGGGCGCGAGCGUUGUCCGGAAUUAUUGGGCGUAAAGGGCUUGUAGGUGGCUGGUUGCGUCUGUCGUGAAAGCUCAUGGCUUAACUGUGGGUUUGCGGUGGGUACGGGCUGGCUUGAGUGCAGUAGGGGAGGCUGGAAUUCCUGGUGUAGCGGUGGAAUGCGCAGAUAUCAGGAGGAAUACCGGUGGCGAAGGCGGGUCUCUGGGCUGUUACUGACACUGAGGAGCGAAAGCAUGGGGAGCGAACAGG